This 8193-nucleotide long non-coding RNA is filed under the name Sus scrofa (pig). Its description in RNAcentral is "lncRNA (ENSSSCG00060059563.1)". Lineage: Eukaryota; Metazoa; Chordata; Mammalia; Artiodactyla; Suidae. The record is from RNAcentral.
UUUUUUUUUUUUUUUUUUUUUUUUAAAUUUCUUUUUUUUUUUUUUUUUUUUUUUUAGUUUUACAAUAUCCUUUUUUAUCCUUUUUUUUUUUUCCUUUUCUACAACUUCUAUAAAUUAUCCUGACCCACCCUCCUCUUAUGGAGAUGGCCUCCCUAACUCAGAGCAUAGCAAGUCGCUGCACCGCUGCACCCGCUGAAGUUAUCUCACUUCACCCUCAGCAGCCCUCCGGCAAGUAUUUUUAUCUCCAUUUUGCAUGUGAUGAUACAGAAACUCAAGAGGCUCCGUGACUUGCGAGCCACCGACCCCUUGCUUGCUCAAACUUGCUCCACUUCACAUCAGACCCAGUGCUCAGAAUUCUUAGAGACCCACAUGAAGGUGUGUUUCUUUUAAAAUCAAAAGUGAAUAAUGAACUUUUAAGACAAAACAUUGCAUCUGGCUUUCUAUCAGUACCACUCUAAAAUAUACCUGUUAAUAUUUGAAAAGAGAAGGGACCUAUGAAGGCUACCUUGCAGCCCCGGCUCAGCCCAUCCAGGCCCAGCUCUCCAUGGCGGGGCCCCUGGGCCAGGCAGCUGCCAGGCCACCCUCUGUCUCUACCUUAGGGAGAUUUUGAGAACCAGAAGCAAAUUCUUGAGGAGACCCAAGACUCACUCCCCUCUCUCUCUCUCUUUCUCUCUCAUCCUCUUGGCCUUUUAGGCCAUAAAAUUGGGCUUUCCUUCACUUCCAAGUUUAAAAGUCAGUUUUCUUUGCCCUCUCCAUUAAAGAAGCAGCCUGUGCUCAUUGUAGAGUUAUAGACACAAGACCAAGGAGAAGGGCACAGGAAGCUUCUCUCUAGAGCAGAGGUGACCUCAGGUACACAUGGACAGCCAGGCACCAGCUGGGAGGCAGUUCAGAAGGAGACCUGGGCAGAGAGAAAGAUGGAGGAUUUCAGGGUAAAGAGGCCACGCAGCUCAGGGUCCGAGGGGAGCUGCAAAGAGCCUGCACUGAUCAUGGGGUGGUAGAGCUCAGCACGGGAGCAGAGCCAGGCAGGAGGGCUAUGCUGGUCCAUGCCUAGAGGGGAGGCACAUGGCAUCUUGUUCAACCAGAUGUUACCCAGAUGUCUUAAUAUUAAUUCCAGUUUAGAAAUAUGGAAGCUGAGGUUCAAAGAAUUUACUUCCCCAUAGCCUUGCUGGGCAUCACUGGCCCCAUCCAGCCUUGAGCCAGGUGUGCCUCCACCCCAGGACCCUUGCCCCUCCACUCAGCUCUGCAUGGCCCUGAAGUCACUCUCCUGCCCCAGAAGAAAAGGCCUUUCUUUACCUACCUCCCCACCCUGGGUCAUUUGUGCUGGCUCUGUCCUCCCCUGCUGGACCCCACCCAGCAGCAGAGCAGCUGCUGCUGAAAUGCUCCUAGUGGCCGUGACCUGGCAAGCACUGCGGCCAGCCUACACCAGGGCUCUCUUCCCCGAGGAAGCCGUGGGCAGCUGCCUCUUGGGGUCACUGCAAGGGCACCAAGAGAGAAUAACACCCCCACCACCUGCCAACCAAUUCCAGGCUUGCCUCCCCCAAGGAACCAACCCCAGCUGACAGCCUGGCCUUUCAUUCAAACAUCACAAGCCAUGGGACCAUCACAAGCCACAGGACCGCUCCUUCCUUGGGUGUUAUCAUUUGCUGGGUGCUUUCAGGUCUGCUUCUUCUCUUCACUCAAGAGGCACUGCAUGCCCUCUCUGACAGAUGAAUGAAAUGAAGCUUGGAGAAGCCAGAAGUAGUGCUCGGAGCAGUGCUGGACAUGGGUCUCUGAUUCCCUUGGGAGAGCACUGUUUUUGCCACAGAUGCCCACUUAGCAGUGUUCUAAGUGGGGAUGGAUAGGGUGACAUUGAGGCACUGAUCCUAGGACUGCAGUCACCUGAAGGAACGGAGGUCCCCCAUCCCUGAAUCUCCAAAGCAGUGGCUGCCUACUGGGGUCUCUGCCCCAAACACACACACAUCGAAAUGAUGUCACAACUGCAGAUCUCCAGAGCAAUUAUUUUCAGAAGUGACAUUUCUACAAAUGCUCAUUCUUAGAUGAGGUUUGCAAAUAUGAAGGAGAUCAAAGCCCAUCCAUUGGACUGGGGUUGGGGAUAAGAGGCCUGGUGACCCCUUCCAGGGACCCCCUUGUGAUGGUCCCUGUCCAGUCAUCGCUGGACACUGAGGCCUCACGUAGCCCAGUUUACAGCCUCCUGGCUGGUGUCUUGCAGGAUGGCCACCUGAUGUCCAGUCACUGUUUGUCAUCAAUGAUGGCACUUUGGGGCUUGCAUCUCAGAGGGUUGUUCCACCUGACACAUUUCCAUCACAUUAAGUGCAAGAUGUUCUCACUGUGGUUAAAUACUUGCCUACAGCCAGACUAUACUGUGCACCCAGCCGUCACUCAUCCUACCAAUUAACUCCAUGAAAAAGGUUCUUAUCGAACUUCGAAAGUCUAUGAAGAAAAUUUGAAAAGUGAGGAAGGAAACUAGAUGGAUAAUUCCAUUACAAAAACAAUUUAUCCACAAACGCUUACAGACCGCCAUAUGCAAGAGAAACUCAGAGGCUUAUGAUGCGUCCACCCUUGUCUGCCCCAGGGAUUCAGGAGGAGAUGAGGAAAGGACUGAGACAAGGACCCUGCCCUCAAAUUAUCCUUGGGCUUCUGAGGCAGCAAGACAUACAUCAGGGCAGGAAUCAAAGCAUCCAACCCUCGUUGUGGGAAGUUUCUUUUCACACGAACUCUGGUUUCAGAUCUAAUUGCCUGUCUCCUUGUGAUUCUUCAAUAGGUAUUCAGAUAUUUAAAAAAUAACAAUAGUAAAAUAACUGCUCAAGUAUGCAUGGGUAUCUAAAAUUAGCUAAUCUCAACAGCUAAUAUUAAAUCAUGGUGAAUUUCUCCUUAACUAGAUAGAGGUUUCUCUUGCCUAAUUAAGACUUUGGGAGUUCCCAUUGUGGCUCAGCGGUAACGAACCCAACUAGUAUCCAUGAGGAUGCAGGUUCAAUCCUUGGCCCCACUCAGUGGGUUAAGGAUCCGGCGUUGCAGUGAGCUGUGGUGUAGGCUGGCAGCUGCAGCUCUGAUUUGACCCCUAGCCUGGGGACCUACAUGUGCUUUGGGUGUGGCCCUGAAAAAAAAAAAGACUUUGUACUUGAAGAAGUUGUUGACCAGUGUUGGUUGUUGAGAAUGUUCAAACUCUGGGGAAUGGCUUAGGUUACAGGGAUGUAAGCCCCACUCACCACCACCGCAUGUCUGUGUAGGAAAUGUGUUCUCUUUCAAAGAGAACAAAAUUCCCUUCAAAGGAGGGUUGAAGAAAGUUGGUUCCGAUGGGCUUUUGAACUACAUGUAUCUGUAUCAGGCUUUGGUAAUUACCACCCCCCAGGUCAUUUCCUAUUUAAGAAUCUCAGGGCUUCUGAAAAGCUCUUCCAGAACAUGCUAUUUUUCAAGAACUCAUUGGAGUGAAACGAUGUUUGUCACUCGCUGAGAGAGCAAACAGUGCUGGAGGAAGUCAGAACACAUCUUUGAGGACAUAGCAGUCGAAGGCAGAUGAAAGCCAUAGUUUUCCUUCCAAGUUCAGGCACGGCUGUGGGGCUGUUUCCCCAUUCACAGGCACUUCUUCCGGGCUCUGUAUAUCCUGAGGCCUUGGUCUCCAGCCAGCUGUGCUUUUGGUAAAAGCUAGCUCUGAGGCCACCCGGCCUGGAGGCACAGUUGUCAGUUCCUGGCCUCCUUGCCCCAAGGCUCCAGGAACAGAGGCUGAUUGUCUCUGAACAAAAGACUGACCUCUCACUGCCCUGCCCCCUGCCUGGGCCCCUGCUGUUCCUUUGAGCCCCCAGGGAUGGGGUCACCCCCAGAAGAAGUGAGCAGAGGGUGGGCCUCAGGUCCCCCUGUCUUUCAGGGACACUUGUUCUACUGCAGGAUGCUGCCCAUGCCCGCUCUGGCCUCCCUAGAGCAGGCUGUUGGUGCAGCCCUCCUGGAGCCACCUGGACAGACCAUUAGUCCCAUCCUGGGACCUGGCAUCUCCAAGCCCAGAAUUACCUGGAGAGUCUCUUCGUGACAGCCUGGCCAGUCAGCAGGCCAAGGGGGGUGCAAAGAGCUGAGUCAAAGAGGCCCAGGCUACAGUCUUCCCAGCAUAGAUGGCCUGAACCCCAUGCAAGCCUCACCCCAAGGCUUCACCAGAAAUUGCAUCCCAUGAUUUCAGAGGCUUCCAAAAGCCGGCCUCUGUGCAUGCACAUGUGAGCCUGUGACCUGGAGGGGUGAAAGCACAACCUGGAAUUACAGACACCUUCUCUCUGAGCACAGAGUGGUGAGGAGACCAACAAGGCUCCCACAGCUCGGGUCAGGAGCUGGGUGGCCCCCGCCUCAGUCUCCCUGACAGCGCAUGUCAGAGGCAUAACUUAAUUCGGCAACAGCCAGGUUCAUCGGCGGGACAACCUGAGAGGUUAUUUCAUCUGCUUUACAUUUACACACCGUUAUGUCUGGUCUGCUGAGCUAUGCAGUUAAGUGACCAGAACCACAUGAGUGCAGCCCAUGAGCUCACCCUGAGCGCCCCCUGCCCCUGGAUGACCAUCCCAGCAUGAGAAUCCAGGGGCCACUCAAAUACUUUGCUUCUUGUCUCCAGGAACCGCCCUGCAGGGACGUAGGCUGUGCACAUCCCUUUGUCCUUGGACCUGCUAGUGCCCCAAAGCUCAGGGGUCCUCACUCAGCCAUAGCCUUAUGCCAGAGGAGGGUGGGGGCAUGGAGAGGGCAUCAGCAUCUCCUGAGUCUCUCAAAGCGGAGGGCAGGUGUCCUUGCGCCCCCCGGGGAGGGGGGUGCCUUUAUACACCCCUUAGAAAGGGGGUCCGAGCCCCUCAUACAACUGGUAUCCAGAGUGUUCCCAGAAAAGGUGUAAAGGAACUGUCCCAAGGCCACACCAGUAACAAAUGGUAGAGGCAGCGGUACAGUGCAGGCACCUUUUGAUCCCUCCACGUCUCCACCCACAAGCUCACCUGCAGGCAGCAUAUCCUCCCCAUGAUGCUGUGUGCUUAUGUGCUACAAGUCCACGGACACAAGUGCUUCAUUCUUAAGUGUGUGCAUGCGCACGCGCGCGCACACACACACACACACACACACGCAUACAUACACAUACACAGAGGAUAUCUGACCCUGCCUCUUCGAUUCAGCUCAGGGCCCCCUCCCUCCUGAGCAGGGCUGCCCAAGCCUCUGCACCAGCAGGUGCACAGCUCAGCCCCCUAUGCAGCUUGGCUGUGUCUGCCUCUGUUUUUUCCCGAGUUUUUUUUCCCUUCCCUUUAUGCAUGCAUGCUGAUGGAAACAGCUCCUUCCCCCAGGCCUGCCUCUGAUAAGGUUCCCUCAGUUUCCAGCAAGUGGAGCUGAGCCUCUUAUCAGGCAGCAGCAGGGGAUCUGCACCACCACCCCCCAUCUGCACCGGGCAGGCUGGUGCUGAUAAAGCGGGCCUGGGCCCAGCACUCACCAGCUGCUUCUCAGCUUGUCCCCAGGGGGGACACAGAAGCAGGCAGUGGGAGCCAGGAAGUCUCUUCCCUUUCUUAGACACCAGAACUGAGUUCCAGUGACCACAGUCACCUGAUGGGGAGCAAGUUGGGGACAGAGGUCUGGCCAGGAUGCUGCAGGAGGAAUUACUCCUUAGGGCCUGAACAUGGCAGUGGGAGUUGGCUCCUCUUGGGGCCUAUCAGGAUCAGCCUUUGGUGUGAGUCCUCUUAGAAUUCCCUAUGGGGCAAGCACUGUUGUUCUGAUUCCUGGGUAAGAUGCUGAGCCCAGCAGACAAUUUGAAGGCAUUUGGCCUCAUAGGGCAGAUGGGAUGAGGUUUGCAGCAGGCUUGCCAGCCCCCAAAGCUCAGACUGCCCCCACCCCAGUCCUGGGGGCUCUGAUUUGAAGGAGAUCAAAGUCCUCACCCCCACCCCACCCCAACACACACCCCAUUUGAAGAUAGAAAUUCUACCUUCAAAUGUUAACUUCUUUUCCUUUAAGUUUGGGUCACUGGUAAAUGUCCUCUCUUUAGGGUAGGACAGACUGGGUUACCUGACUAUUUUGUGAAAAGUGACUUGGCCUCUCUGACUUUAGUUGUCCUGCCUAUUAUAUGGACUGUGUGCCAUGCCCUGCCAGGAGCACCCAGGAUUCCACAGCUGGAGGGCACCUCCCACCAGUGGCCGCCACUGCUUCCAUCAGUGGAGGCAGGGCCAGGGGCUGGCAGCAGGUCCAGCCAUAGACCCUCAUCUGGGUUUGAAUCCUGGCUCUGUCCUUGGCAACUGAGCUCUAGCCUUUUUAUAUUUACACCAGGGGUAGAAAUACCAGCUGCAGAGUUGUUGGGGAGUUCAGCUAAUGAGAAGUACUCGCCGCCUGUGACAGGCCCAGCAGAGGGAGUUUGGGGUGAGAAGUAUCUUGAGUGUGAGGUGAAGUGAGUGAGGUCCUAGCACAGAGCAGACCCAGGGAAGACCUCCAGCUGCCCUGUGCACAUGGAUGCACAGGAGGAUGGAGGACACUCCAAGACCAAGCUUCCAUACAGGGCAGGGUAGGCAGGGCCACCUGGCACCCUGGGCCGGUAAACAGAGCCUUCCCUGGAAGGUGCACCCCCCCCCUGCCCUGAGGGCCCCAUGGGAGGGGCUCAGAGUGGUGCACCAAGGCAGCCCUGUCAGAGCAAACCUCAAGGAAAGGAUCGGUGACACUGCCAAGAGGAUAAGCAGCUAAUGCAGAGCCACACAAGUGGUCUGCCCUGAGAUGGACACUGAGCUGGAGGUGUGAGGUUACAGCUGAAAUACCAAGCAACCAGCCUCCCCAGACACCAAGGCUGGGGAAUGUUAAGGGUGGGAGAAAGGGCAGGUGGGGGCAGGGCAGGAGGGCUGCCCAUGAGCUGGGGUCUGGGGAAGGAGCAGGGAGGGGUCCUCAGGUCUUUCCCCUGGAAUCAGUUAAAGCAUCAUUUGUGGUCAUGGGAGGCAGAGGCCUAACGUGUGUCAAGUUCUCUGCAGCCAAGAGGUCAACACAGAUGGCCUCUUGCCCAGCACCCAGCAGGUGCUCAGUGGACUGGUUCAGCCAGUACUGCAAACUCCUGCUUUCUUAACUUGUUGUGUGUGUGUUUCUCCUGCUGCAUGUCACCAGGCUGCCAGGAGGAGCUUUGUGUGAUAACCUUCCCUGUGCCGUUCACCCUGAAAAUUGCUGGACACCCAUGGGAAGAUGCCAUAGCCUCCCCUAUACCCCAGAGUCAUUUUGCUGUGCUUGCUGGGUCUGCUGUAGAAACAGGAAGUCACUUCCUCCUAGAAGGUCAGCACAGGUGCCUCCUAUGGGGGGUUGGGUUUGAACCAGUGAGGGUUCUUGUAUGGAUACAUGCUGGAGGGGCAGUGGAAGGACCAUUCAGAGGAGAGGGCACAGCAUGAGCCGGAACCUGGGAACAUAAAAUAGAAUCAGAGUCCAUGUGACUUUGUGGACACUUGCAUGGGACAGGCGGGAUGUGGACACUGAGAUGACAAUGGGGGAUUCUUGUACCUGUGGCUCUGGUUCUCCUCAGGGGAACCCCCUUUAGAAAGUCACAGAGUUUCUGGUGAAUUGACAGAGAACCAGGCAGUCUAUGAAGCUGGCAUGUGAUAUGGGGGAUGUACUUAUGCUAAAAAUCACGUGGUUAUUUAUCCAAAAGUCACACCUUGCAUUAUCUGACAACCAUAGGAGCAUGGGACCUAGACCUGGGUGUUUUUAAAGGGUCUGAUAUACAGAGCUGAGAACCAUGAGCAAGAGGCUUGCACUGCUGUGAGCAAGCCCACUGUCUCGUGUCCCAGGCCCGGUCCCCAAUGGCAAAGACUUCUGAGUAGAUGGAGCAUUCCCAGUCUUAGAAACUUCUCCUGGGAAGCUUUUGAGAUCUCCUUCUUACUCAUCCUUUCCAUCUGUCUCAUAGAUGCCUCUCACAGUGAUUAAAAACCUAUUUUUUAUGUAAAUUGGAAAGUCUACAAUCCAUCUUAAUUUUUUAAUACUUUAAACAAUGUAGGAGUUCCUGUUGUGGCUCAGCAGAUUAAGAAUCAGACAUAGUGUCUGUGAAGAUGUGGGUUCAAUCUCUGGCUGCUCAGUGGGUUAAGAGUCUGGCAUUACUGCAAGCUGAGGCAUAGGUCACAAAUACGACCUGGAUCUGGUGUUGCUGUGGCUGCGGCAUAGGUCAGCAGCUGCAGUUCCAAUUCGGCCCUAGCCUGGGAACUUCCAUAUGCCACAGGUGCAUUCCUAAAAAGAAAAAAA